Molecule: ribosomal RNA, 253 nt
Filed under: uncultured bacterium
Lineage: Bacteria
Description: partial 16S ribosomal RNA
Rfam family: Bacterial small subunit ribosomal RNA
Source: RNAcentral
UACGUAGGUGACCAGCGUUGUCCGGAUUUACUGGGCGUAAAGAGCGCGCAGGCGGUCGUUCAAGUCGAGUGUGAAAGCCCCCGGCUCAACUGGGGAGGGUCAUUCGAUACUGAUCGACUGGAAGGCAGGAGAGGGAAGCGGAAUUCCCGGUGUAGUGGUGAAAUGCGUAGAGAUCGGAAGGAACGUCGAUGGCGAAGGCAGCCACCUGGCAUAAUACUGACGCUGAGGCGCGAAAGCGUGGGGAGCGAACAGG